ACGCGACCCCAGGUCAGGCGGGACCACCCGCUGAGCUUAAGCAUAUCAAUAAGCGGAGGAAAAGAAACUUACGAGGAUU
This 79-nucleotide ribosomal RNA is filed under the name Gunnera kauaiensis. RNAcentral describes it as "partial 26S ribosomal RNA". It matches the Rfam family "Eukaryotic large subunit ribosomal RNA", at positions 1 to 76 of the family's 3401-position model. Lineage: Eukaryota; Viridiplantae; Streptophyta; Magnoliopsida; Gunnerales; Gunneraceae. The record is from RNAcentral.